RNAcentral lists this ribosomal RNA (441 nucleotides) under uncultured bacterium. RNAcentral describes it as "bacterial SSU rRNA". It matches the Rfam family "Bacterial small subunit ribosomal RNA", at positions 958 to 1398 of the family's 1533-position model. The record is from RNAcentral.
AACGCGAAGAACCUUACCUGCCCUUGACAUCUACGGAAUCUGACAGAGAUGUUGGAGUGCCGCAAGGAACCGUAAGACAGGUGCUGCAUGGCUGUCGUCAGCUCGUGUUGUGAGAUGUUGGGUUAAGUCCCGUAACGAGCGCAACCCCUGUUCACAGUUGCCAGCGCGUAAUGGCGGGGACUCUGUGGAGACUGCCGGUGAUGAACCGGAGGAAGGCGGGGACGACGUCAAGUCAUCAUGGCCUUUAUGGGCAGGGCUACACACGUGCUACAAUGGGGCGUACAGAGGGAAGCCAACCCGCGAGGGGGAGCCGAUCCCGGAAAGCGCCUCUUAGUCCGGACUGGAGUCUGCAACUCGACUCCACGAAGUCGGAAUCGCUAGUAAUCGCGAAUCAGAAUGUCGCGGUGAAUACGUUCCCGGGCCUUGUACACACCGAGUAUA